UACAGAGGUGGCAAGCGUUGUUCGGAAUUACUGGGCGUAAAGGGCGCGUAGGCGGCCGUCUAAGUCAGACGUGAAAUCCCCCGGCUUAACCUGGGAACUGCGUCUGAUACUGGAGGGCUUGAGUGCGGGAGAGGGAUGUGGAAUUCCAGGUGUAGCGGUGAAAUGCGUAGAUAUCUGGAGGAACACCGGUGGCGAAGGCGGCAUCCUGGACCGGCAUUGACGCUGAGGAGCGAAAGCCAGGGGAGCAAACGGG
RNAcentral lists this ribosomal RNA (253 nucleotides) under uncultured bacterium. RNAcentral's name for it is "partial 16S ribosomal RNA". It matches the Rfam family "Bacterial small subunit ribosomal RNA", at positions 524 to 776 of the family's 1533-position model. The record is from RNAcentral.